Non-coding RNA from Loxodonta africana (African savanna elephant), 3272 nucleotides. The record is from the annotation of a RefSeq genome assembly. Lineage: Eukaryota; Metazoa; Chordata; Mammalia; Proboscidea; Elephantidae.
UCUUUUACUUAGCAUAAUGUUUUCAGGUUCAUCUAUGUUGCAGCAUAUACUAGCAUUUAAUUUCUUUUUAUUGUUGAAUGGAUUUACUACAUUUUAUUUAUAAAUAAAAUGGACAUUUGAGUUGUUCCCAUUUGGGUGCUGUUACAAAGAAUAGCCACAAAUUGCUUACCUACCUACCUGUUAACUGUCAAGUCAAUUCCAACUCAAAGCGACCCUAUAGGACAGAGUGGAACUGCCCCACAGGGUUUCCAAGGAGCAACUGGUGGAUUCAAACUGCUGACCUUUUAGUUGGCAGCCAUAGCUCUUAACCACUGCGCCACCAGAGCUCCAGUCACAUAUUACACACCCACUAUUUUUAGAACAUAUCUAGCACUGAAAACAUUUAUGAAUGUCACGUAUGAAGGUGGUAUGGCAGAUUCCCAACAACGCGAACUCCAGAGCUGGAUAGAUGUAUGUUCUCAUUCUGUCUAUGCCACUUAUCAGAUAAUCAACCUUAACUAAACUACUCAAUCUCUUCAAGCUUUAGUUUUCUUCAUCGUAAAUUGGGAAUAGUAAUAAGUCUAUUGCAUGACUACUUCAUUAGAAUAAGGUACACAAAGCAAAAGGUAGUUUAGUAGGUAGCACAUUGGACAUGAGUACAUUUAUAAUUUGGAGGGAUUUGGAAGUUUAAACGAAAUCUUGACAGAAAUUCAAACGGAAAUCCUCCCUUCAGUGCUUUACCUAUCGCAGACUGCCAUCCCACCCACAAUUUCCUCUAAACUUGAAUAACUCCAAUCCACAAUUAGGCAGCCCCACUUUUUAAAGGUUUCCAACUCUUUUUGUGUUCCAAACUCAUGGGCAAUUUCCUCAGUGUUUGUGAACUUGGCCUCAAGAAGGCAGUGUUUGAUUCCUCCUUGUGAACCCUGGAACACUAAAUCUACGGUAGAAUUGGUUGGAUAUUUCCAGAGAACCAGGCUACAGAACGUUCCUGGGCAGGAUAAAUGGAGAAGAAUCCUUUGGCAGCCUCAUUGCUGAUCCUAUGGUUUCAUCUUGGGGGAGUGAGCAGCCAAGUCAAUGUGGAACAGAGUCCUCAGUCGCUGAAUGUUCAGAAGGGAGACAGCACAAAUUUCACCUGCAGCUUCCCUUCCAGCUCUUUUUAUGCCUUACACUGGUAUAGCUGGGAACGAGCCAAAAGCCCCAAGAUCCUGUUUGUACUGCUUUCAAGUGGGGAUAAAUCAGAAGGACGUCUAAGAGCCACUAUUAAUACUAAGGAGGGUUUCAGCUACUUGUACAUCAAAGGAUCCCAACUUGAAGACUCAGCCACCUAUCUUUGUGCCUUUGACACAGUGCUCUUCAGACACCUGCAGCCUGUACCCAAACCUGUGGCUGGUGCUGCUCUGGUGACCAGCUUCAACGAAGAGCUUUGUGUGGGUUUUUAUUAGUCUCCAGAUGGGGUUUGGAGAAAGGCAAAGUCAGUGAAUCACAGUGUUUUCAACAGUGAGGAAAAAUGCAAAUAUAUAUAAACAUUCAUUCUAGUAAUUGUAGCUCCCUGAGCUAAGUGAGUUGUUAUUAAACAUCACUACCCCUGACUCCCACCAAUAUGUUACCCAUAUCACUGAGUCAGAUUCUUGCCUCCUCUUAGGGCAUGAUUCCAAAUGAUCUAGAUAGUUACUCAAACCUAUCUGAAAUAAUCUGAGCACACAAGGGUAGUAUUUACCCUUAAUUGUUGCUACUUCCCCAGAGCUAGCUUUUCCAUCCCAUUUCCUCACACCUAUGCAUGGGGAUUGCUAUCUAGGGGGAUGAGGUCAUGCCCUCUCCUCAGAUACCUGGUAUAGAAAUCUGCAUGUUUCACACCAUUUAAUCCAUUAUUGGUUCAUUUAAUCCCUUGGGGUUUUGUGUUUGUUUGAUUUAGUUCUGCCUUCCCCCUACAUGAAGGAACCCUGAAGGCACCGUGGUUAAGUGCUCAGCUGCUAACCAGAAGGUUGGUGGUUCAAACACACCAGCUGCUCCCUGGGAGAAAGACGUGUCAGUCUGCCUCGCUAAAGAUUUACAGUCUUGGGAGCCCUAUGGGGGCAGGCUUACUCUGUCCUACAAGGUGGCUAUGGGUUGGAAUUGACUCGAAGGCAACAGGUUUUUUGUUUCCCCCUACGUGAACACCUGUGUUUCAUUUCUUCUCAUAUAUGGCUAUUUGCGUUUUUAAAAAUCACUUGUGGGACCUAAAAGGGGCACUGAUAGGAGAGAUUUACUAAUCAGUGUGGUCUGUCCUCUUUUAUCAUGAUUGUGGUAUUGAAUGAGUAAUUGAACUCUCCAUUAUUUAAGUUUCUUCAUUUAUAACGUCCAGGUAUCUGAGGCAGAUCAAGUAUCUGGUCUCUGCUUCUUUUGUAAAUUUUCAAACAAUCUACCAGUUUGAGAUCCUGUUGGUACUCUAACCAGUUGCUGUUGAGUCGAUUUAGACUCCUGGUGACCCCAUGUGUAUCAGACUAGGACUAUACUCCAUAGGGUUUUUGAAUAGCUGAUUUUUCAGAGCUGAUAUUUUAGGAGUAGAUCACCAGGACUUUAUUCCAAGGCAAUUCUGGGUAAACUCAAACCACCAGCCUUCCAGUUAGCAGCUGAGCACUUAACCAUUUGCACCACUCUGAGACUCCAUCACUAUCGGCACUCUAAAAGCUCGUUGCUGUUGAGUGCAUUCCAACUCACAGUGAUCCUAUAGGACAGAGUGGAACUGCCUUAUAGGGUUUCCAAGGUUGUAAUCUUUUUGGAAACAGACUGCCACAGAGCAGCUGCUGGGUUUGAACUGCUGACCUUUUGGUUAGCAGCCAAGCUGCUUAAUUGCUGCACCACCAGUUCUCCUUAUGGUACGCUAACAAAAACCAAACCAAACCCGUUGCUCUUCAGUUGAUUCUGACUCAUAGCAACCAUAUAGGACAGAGUAGAACUGCCCUGUAGGGCUUCCAAGGAGAGGCUGAUGGAUGUAAAUUGCUGACCUUUUGGUUAGCAGCCAUAGCUCUUAAAUACUGCACCACCAGGGUUGAUGGCAACAGGCUCAGUUUUUUAUGAGAGGUAGAUACCAGAGAGAUCAUGAUGCACAAAACAUGUCCAGUGAUUUGGACUUCUAGCCUCCAGAACUGUGAGAAUGAGUGGGUGGUUCUUUAAAGCCACCCACUUUGUAGUAUUUUCUUACAGCAGCCCGAUGAAACUGAGACACUGUCUCUUAUCUCAACUUUACCAAUCUAACACUGUGGUUAUUAUAAAACAUCUCUCUGAUCAUAUUAACCCAUUGCCGCCAAGUCGAU